UCCAGACUCCUACGGGAGGCAGCAGUGGGGAAUAUUGGGCAAUGGGCGAAAGCCUGACCCAGCAAUGCCGCGUGAAUGAAGAAGGUCUUAGGAUUGUAAAAUUCUGUCCUAUGGGAAGAAACAAAUGACGGUACCAUAGGAGGAAGCCACGGCUAACUACGUGCCAGCAGCCGCGGUAAUACGUAGGUGGCAAGCGUUGUCCGGAUUUACUGGGUAUAAAGGGCGUGCAGCCGGAGAGACAAGUCAGAUGUGAAAUCCGCAGGCUCAACCUGCGAACUGCAUUUGAAACUGUUUCCCUUGAGUAUCGGAGAGGUCAUCGGAAUUCCUAGUGUAGCGGUGAAAUGCGUAGAUAUUAGGAGGAACACCAGUGGCGAAGGCGGCCUGCUGGACUGCAACUGACGUUGAGGCUCGAAGGCGUGGGGAGCAAACAGGAUUAGAUACCCGAGUA
Molecule: ribosomal RNA, 448 nt
Filed under: uncultured bacterium
Lineage: Bacteria
Description: bacterial SSU rRNA
Rfam family: Bacterial small subunit ribosomal RNA
Source: RNAcentral